UAAAAGUUGAAGUUUGUUGCGUCGUGCGGCGCUGGCGUGGUUGAUGGCUGAAAGUAAUGGCUGUAAUCCACAGAUGGCAGUGGUGUGUUUUAUGAUUUGUUUAACGAUAAGUUUAAUGAAUUGGAAAAGUACAGAAUUUAAUUUGACAGUUGCUUGGAGGGACUCGGGCAUAACACGAAAAUCUAGCGUGAGGAUAGCCGAUCUCCGGGCUAAGAUUUGAAGCCGAAUACGAAGCAAGAAUUGUAACUGCUCGGCCUCGACGUUCGCACGCGGGGUGGCGCUGGCGUGCAGGUGGCUGCGUGGCUUGAUCAGUAUUGGUGGAGCGGCGGCCGGGUGCAGUCGGCCUAGCGGAGCAGUGUCUCGACUGUCAGAAUGAAAACUGACGGGCCGGAGCAGCUGGCACAUGACGUGGACAGAAGUGGCUCAGGGGCGUAGUGUCCGUGUUGUGUCCGAGGCGCGAACCACGUAAUCGCCAUGUUGCUGGCUGACGCCGAGAGCUGCUACAGCGAGGAGAUGGCGCC
This is a non-coding RNA of Zootermopsis nevadensis, 521 nucleotides long. Lineage: Eukaryota; Metazoa; Arthropoda; Insecta; Blattodea; Termopsidae. The record is from RefSeq and is a predicted model, not a curated record.